This 73-nucleotide transfer RNA is filed under the name Bos taurus (domestic cattle). It matches the Rfam family "tRNA". From Rfam's summary of the family: Transfer RNA (tRNA) molecules are approximately 80 nucleotides in length. Their secondary structure includes four short double-helical elements and three loops (D, anti-codon, and T loops). Further hydrogen bonds mediate the characteristic L-shaped molecular structure. tRNAs have two regions of fundamental functional importance: the anti-codon, which is responsible for specific mRNA codon recognition, and the 3' end, to which the tRNAs corresponding amino acid is attached (by aminoacyl-tRNA synthetases). tRNAs cope with the degeneracy of the genetic code in two manners: having more than one tRNA (with a specific anti-codon) for a particular amino acid; and 'wobble' base-pairing, i.e. permitting non-standard base-pairing at the 3rd anti-codon position. RNAcentral also lists the same sequence under 4 other names. Lineage: Eukaryota; Metazoa; Chordata; Mammalia; Artiodactyla; Bovidae. The record is from Rfam by way of RNAcentral.
UCCCUGGUGGUCCAGUGGUUAAGAUACUGUACUUCCACUGCAGGGGGCAUGGGUUCAAUCCCUGGUCAGGAAA